RNAcentral lists this ribosomal RNA (423 nucleotides) under uncultured bacterium. Its description in RNAcentral is "bacterial SSU rRNA". It matches the Rfam family "Bacterial small subunit ribosomal RNA", at positions 506 to 929 of the family's 1533-position model. The record is from RNAcentral.
UGCCAGCAGCCGCGGUAAUACGAAGGGUGCAAGCGUUACUCGGAAUUACUGGGCGUAAAGCGUGCGUAGGUGGUUGUUUAAGUCUGAUGUGAAAGCCCUGGGCUCAACCUGGGAAUGGCAUUGGAUACUGGGCAGCUAGAGUGCGGUAGAGGGUAGUGGAAUUCCCGGUGUAGCAGUGAAAUGCGUAGAGAUCGGGAGGAACAUCUGUGGCGAAGGCGACUGCCUGGACCAGCACUGACACUGAGGCACGAAAGCGUGGGGAGCAAACAGGAUUAGAUACCCUGGUAGUCCACGCCCUAAACGAUGCGAACUGGAUGUUGGGCUCAACUUGGAGCUCAGUAUCGAAGCUAACGCGUUAAGUUCGCCGCCUGGGGAGUACGGUCGCAAGACUAAACUCAAAGGAAUGACGGSSSCCCGCACAAG